Molecule: unclassified non-coding RNA, 18 nt
Filed under: Mus musculus (house mouse)
Lineage: Eukaryota; Metazoa; Chordata; Mammalia; Rodentia; Muridae
Description: oocyte_clustered_small_RNA7673
Source: RNAcentral
UAGACACUACAGACAUCU